This 317-nucleotide long non-coding RNA is filed under the name Podarcis muralis (Common wall lizard). RNAcentral's name for it is "lncRNA (ENSPMRG00000015692.1)". Lineage: Eukaryota; Metazoa; Chordata; Lepidosauria; Squamata; Lacertidae. The record is from RNAcentral.
UUUCGACUCGCCCCCCAAGCAACGCGGGUCUGGAGCGGCGGAACGUGAGGAAAGGGGCACGGAGCGGGACAGGCUUACAAGUCUUAGGAGCAAGUGAAAGACUAUCUACUCCCAUAUGAGCCUGUAUCAGAUGCCCUGUUCUAGGUACCACCUUCUGGGUCGCAAGCCUUCUGAGUCCCUCCCUGGGGUCUGAUUCUGUGCCCCCAUCUUCCUUCCCAUACAACUCUGGAACCUCCUGAGGACCAGGCGAGGUCUGGCUCAACCUACUCCCUGGGUUCAUCCGAGUCCAACUCCUCGAGCAUCAUCCUGAUCUGACC